UGGGGAAUCUUAGACAAUGGGGGCAACCCUGAUCUAGCCAUGCCGCGUGAGUGAUGAAGGCCUUAGGGUUGUAAAGCUCUUUCAGCUGGAAGAUAAUGACGGUACCAGCAGAAGAAGCCCCGGCUAACUCCGUGCCAGCAGCCGCGGUAAUACGGAGGGGGCUAGCGUUGUUCGGAAUUACUGGGCGUAAAGCGCACGUAGGCGGACUGGAAAGUUGGGGGUGAAAUCCCGGGGCUCAACCUCGGAACUGCCUUCAAAACUAUCAGUCUGGAGUUCGAGAGAGGUGAGUGGAAUUCCGAGUGUAGAGGUGAAAUUCGUAGAUAUUCGGAGGAACACCAGUGGCGAAGGCGGCUCACUGGCUCGAUACUGACGCUGAGGUGCGAAAGCGUGGGGAGCAAACA
RNAcentral lists this ribosomal RNA (401 nucleotides) under uncultured bacterium. RNAcentral's name for it is "partial 16S ribosomal RNA". It matches the Rfam family "Bacterial small subunit ribosomal RNA", at positions 355 to 774 of the family's 1533-position model. The record is from RNAcentral.